AGCAGUGGGGAAUAUUGGACAAUGGGCGCAAGCCUGAUCCAGCCAUACCGCGUGGGUGAAGAAGGCCUUCGGGUUGUAAAGCCCUUUUGUUGGGAAAGAAAUCCAGCUGGCUAAUACCCGGUUGGGAUGACGGUACCCAAAGAAUAAGCACCGGCUAAAUUCGUGCCAGCAGCCGCGGUAAUACGAAGGGUGCAAGCGUUACUUGGAAUUACUGGGCGUAAAGCGUGCGUAGGUGGUCGUUUAAGUCCGUUGUGAAAGCCCUGGGCUCAACCUGGGAAAUGCAGUGGAUACUGGGCGACUAGAGUGUGGUAGAGGGUAGCGGAAUUCCUGGUGUAGCAGUGAAAUGCGUAGAGAUCAGGAGGAACAUCCAUGGCGAAGGCAGCUACCUGGACCAACACUGACACUGAGGCACGAAAGCGUGGGGAGCAAACAGGAUUAGAUACCCUGGUAGUCCACGCCCUAAACGAUGCGAACUGGAUGUUGGGUGCAAUUUGGCACGCAGUAUCGAAGCUAACG
This 516-nucleotide ribosomal RNA is filed under the name uncultured bacterium. Its description in RNAcentral is "bacterial SSU rRNA". It matches the Rfam family "Bacterial small subunit ribosomal RNA", at positions 350 to 857 of the family's 1533-position model. The record is from RNAcentral.